This 429-nucleotide ribosomal RNA is filed under the name Chloroflexota bacterium. RNAcentral describes it as "Chloroflexi bacterium partial 16S ribosomal RNA". It matches the Rfam family "Bacterial small subunit ribosomal RNA", at positions 355 to 776 of the family's 1533-position model. The record is from RNAcentral. Lineage: Bacteria; Bacillati; Chloroflexota.
UGGGGAAUAUUGCACAAUGGGCGCAAGCCUGAUGCAGCCAUGCCGCGUGUAUGAAGAAGGCCUUCGGGUUGUAAAGUACUUUCAGCGGGGAGGAAGGGAGUAAAGUUAAUACCUUUGCUCAGUGACGUUACCCGCAGAAGAAGCACCGGCUAACUCCGUGCCAGCAGCCGCGGUAAUACGGAGGGUGCAAGCGUUAAUCGGAAUUACUGGGCGUAAAGCGCACGCAGGCGGUUUGUUAAGUCAGAUGUGAAAGCCCCGGGCUCAACCUGGGAACUGCAUCUGAUACUGGCAGGCUUGAGUCUCGUAGAGGGGGGUAGAAUUCCAGGUGUAGCGGUGAAAUGCGUAGAGAUCUGGAGGAAUACCGGUGGCGAAGGCGGCCCCCUGGACGAAGACUGACGCUCAGGUGCGAAAGCGUGGGGAGCAAACAGG